AGAGAAUCUCGUAGACGUAGUAGUAGGAAUUUGCCGUUUUUCCCUUAAAUUCAGUCCAAGCUAACCAACCAAACAGUAUAUCCCGUCCACGCGCUCCUACAGCACGUGUUCCUAACCGCUAGUUCCCUGUAUGACGGUAACCCAGUAUACUUCUUGACCCUGUCAUCUCUGGGCCCCUUACUCUCACCAAAUCCAACGGCAGAGAUCUCUCCUCUGCAUCAUCCUAGGGUUUUCUCUUGAUCCAAACCCUUACUUCCUUUAUAUCCUUCUUUCAGCCCUCUAAUUCUCUUUCCUUUUCAGUGCCGUUCCAUCCCCUCUUCCUCCCUUAUCACACUCUCUGUUAAUUCUUCACGCGCUGCCAGUCCCUUGGCGGCCAAAGUCACCGUUUCCUUCUCCGCCUUCCCUCUCCUCCUCUAUCAAAAACCCAAAAACACCAAAAAAAGAAAGGGCAAAAGACGAAAUAAAAACAACAGUAUCUCGGUUAGUCAUUGUAUCGAACAUUUGCUGUGCGCUUUUAUCACUUUUUCUUUGUUUAAGCUAGGGUUUGGUUUAGCAUAGACAGAUAGAGUUAGGGUUUGUUGUUUUGUUUUAUUAGAAUAAACAGAGGAGGGGGAAGAUAAAUUGAAAAAAAGUUAAAAAAA
This 641-nucleotide unclassified non-coding RNA is filed under the name Hevea brasiliensis (rubber tree). The record is from RNAcentral. Lineage: Eukaryota; Viridiplantae; Streptophyta; Magnoliopsida; Malpighiales; Euphorbiaceae.